UAUUAAAAAAGUUUUUUGAAAGGUUUUAGUGAAAAAGUUAUUAUUGAUUUUUAUUAAGAAAACUUUUUUCUUACUUUUAAAAUAAUGAUAAAAAAACACCUUACCUUACGCAAGCAAUAGGUUGACUGUAACAGGUUUGAUCAGCUCCAAAAUAUUUUCAAAUCAACAAUUAAAGUGUAAUGUCAUCUAAUGAUUGGAAAGAAAAUGUUGUUACAAUGAUGAUGAAUGUGUUCAUAAAAGAUCCAGAAGCAUUUGCUAGAGUAAUGUAUUUUUUGGAUGAGGAAGAAAUAACAUAUGAAAAUUGUGUCUUCACAAUGGCGAACAUUGAAAUGUUCAAUGAAUAAUGAAGAUAUGUUUAAAAUUUAUGCAAAACGUAUCGCAGAAAGCACAAAACCAGCAAAAAAAGGUGAUCCUUUUAAAAAAAAAUGGAAGAGAUUUAUAAAAAUAUGCUUAAGGAUUCUAAAACACCGACAGAUGUAGCAGUCUUUCAAGAAUUUAAUAUAAAAAAGUUUACCGAAGAAAAAGCCCUCGAGAAAGCUGGACUGAUGGGUUUUGCAGCAGCUUGGAGAGUUAUACCGUUUGAAUAUCAAAAUCAAGUUUUGAAUUUUAUUAAAAACUUGAUAAACAACAAAGCUGUUAUAGGUUUAAUAGAUGGUACUGUUGGGUUAGGUAGUAGAUAUGGUGGAAAUGUUGCAACGGCUGCUUUAGCAGCUGUCAUGCUUGGCUACGAUGCUAUUAAAUCCAUUAAACGCUGGUGGAACGGAGAAAUAACUGGAUCUCGGUGUUGAAAAAAUAUAGUAGAUUCACUUACUACUACUGCUGCUAGUGUUGCAGGAGGAAUCGGAGGAGCUUCUAUUGGUUCUAUUUUUGGUCCUGUUGGCGCAGUAGCAGGUGCUAUAAUUUUUGGAACAAUAAGUGGUUCGGCUGCUAAUGCCCUUUCAGAUUGUAUGACACAAUGGAUAUUUGGAGUAUCAAAAGAAGAAGCAUUAGAAAAUGCGUUUUGAUAUUUUGGUCUGAAUGUUAAUGCAUCUAAUCACGAGAUUAAUGCAGUGUACAAAAAAAUGUGCUUCAAACAUCACCCAGAUAAAGGAGGCGAUUCUAAAGAUUUUAAUUACGUGCAAGUUAAUAUGGCCAUUAUUAAAGCUGCAAAGGGACUUUUGUGAGAACUUCAUUUUUCUUAUUUAAAACAUUUCUUUAUUUUCUUAUUUAAAACAAUUGGUAAUUUUUUAUACAGAAUACAGAAUAGUUAUAAUAAUAGACUUUUUAAAUACAGAAUAAAUUUAACAACAUCAAACCAGUUUUAAA
Hydra vulgaris (swiftwater hydra) is the source of this 1305-nucleotide non-coding RNA. The record is from RefSeq and is a predicted model, not a curated record. Lineage: Eukaryota; Metazoa; Cnidaria; Hydrozoa; Anthoathecata; Hydridae.